This is a long non-coding RNA of Triticum dicoccoides, 1078 nucleotides long. RefSeq lists it as uncharacterized. The transcript is spliced from 3 exons. Lineage: Eukaryota; Viridiplantae; Streptophyta; Magnoliopsida; Poales; Poaceae. The record is from RefSeq and is a predicted model, not a curated record.
CUCGGCCCAGUAGCGGCCCAUAUUGCCAGCCCGUCUCUCUCCUGAGCGCCACAAGUUUUCACGUAACAUUUCUAAAAUCGCUAAAAAAACGUACAAAGAUGCUGGUGACGCAGGUCAUCCGAGCACUUACCAAUUUCCUACUCCCUCCGUCCGGAAAAAGUUGUCCUCACCUUAGUUCAUUUGUAAGUUUGCGAAAAAACCCCUCCACCUUUAAAACUGUUGCUAAUCGGCCCCCUGCUUCUUCCUCCUUCCUCCGUCACCCGCCCGCACCGUGGUCGCCCCAGCCACCGCCGGCGGCCGGCACCAGCCGUCGGGCCCAGAGCUCGACGACGGACAACCUGCACCGGCCACACCGGAGGCUGCUCAAGCUCCUGCUGCUCCGUGGUCAUCGGGAAGAACUGGAGCGAGGCCCUGGCCCCCGAUCCGGCCCCCGCCAGCGAGGCCCUGGCCACGCUCUCCCUCGGCGCCGCUGACCUGCCCGCGGAGUUCUCCGCCGCCGGACACGAGAUCGCCGGGGAGGACGAGUACGAGGGGUACGUGACAGCCGCGUCCAGAGGCGGGAGCAGCACGGCUCGAGGAGGAGGAGGACGGCUACGGCGACGCCGGUCCGCCCAGCCUCAGCAGCAGCGGCUACGCCGGCGAGCAGCGGGAACAGCGUCACCUCCAGUACCAGCGCCGCCUGCCGCAUCGAGGAGCCCGACCCCGCCCCGCCCCUCCGGCGCCGAGGCUGGGCGUGCGGCAAGAAGCACGCCGACGAGGUCCUGCUCCUUGUGCUGCCGCCAGAGCCCAUAGCUCGUGUUCCUCAGGAAGAAGAAGAAGACUGUGACUUGUGAGAGGCCGUCAGGAUUCCACUCUAAAUUCGGACUACAUCAACAGCAACCACUUGACCAGGAUUUGGAGUAGUGCAUUGCAAAUCGAACUUGUGCUGCUGCUCCAACGUCGGUUCAGUACAGAAAUAUGUUGUGUUAGAUUGAAGAUUGUCGAUCUUCCUUGUUUAAUUCCUCAAGCCACAGAAUAAGACUAGUCCACACAUACACAAAUUUGACAAAAUUCAGAGCGCAUCAGCAUUGCACUGCAC